GGAGGAACCCAGUGUGCCUGACUGUGUCCGUGUGUGCCUGAGUGUGUCCGUGUCUGUCUGUCUGUGUCUGUGCUCCCCAGGCUUCACUCGGCCCACGUCAGGCCCCGGGGCUGCGUCUCCCUGCCUUGUGAGCAGUGUUUGCGCAGCACCAUCUCUCCCUUCGCAACAGGCCAAAGUUUCUGCCUAAGAACAGCUAUCCUGGGGUGGUGGCAUGGCUGGAGUUACUGGGACAGAGUCCUCACAACAGUCACAGAAUCACUGAGAUAUUUGAGAUUUCCUAUAAACCGCAAGCUGCAGCACAGAGAAUGGAAGGUGACGAGCACCUGGUGUGGCUCUCCCUCAUCCCAAAGGCAAUGUCCAUGGGACAAAGCUCAGGAAAAUGCCACCUAGGUACCAUUCCUCAGCUGCUGUGAGAGGCCACUGCCUGGGGUGACCAUCCCUGGAAAGGAAGGACACACUGCACUAACACAGGCUGUGCAGAAAGCACAGAGACCUAAAAUAAAUCCAAUUCACAUUUUAUGGGAGCUGCCACAGGAAACAAAGGCGCAGAACAAUGGUGAAUAGUGGAUGCAGAAACACAUAAGAAAUGAAAAUGAGACACAUCUCGGUUUUUAAAGGUCAUUUUACAUGGAGAAGAAAAAUUCCACAGCAUCCCAGCUAGAUAAAACUGUGACCAGAUCAUUGAACAAGCUGUAGAGAUUGACCUACAAAUUCCAGGGACCAUCCUUCUGAGUCUCACAACAUUAAUCCAGCUCACCGAGAUGUCUUUGCAACUUCUUUGCUCAAAGCUCUAAAAGCAGCUCCCAGAAGCAGGGCUAUCACUACCACCCCCCAGGAAGCCCUUUGCCCAUGGAAAUGUUUAAAACAUUAAAGUCAGCUCCAAAUCCAGGGGAUCUGGGCAAAAAAGGUUCCUGGGGAUUGUGGUUUCUGGCUAACUGCACACAGCAACAGCUCCCAAGGAGCUGCACUUCCAUCACCAGAGAGGAAGAAGCCGUUGAAACCCUGUAACAAUUUAAAAUCUGAAACAAUUCUAAACUUUAGUCAGUGACACCUUGGAAUAAAACUUCUGAGGAAGGAAAAAAAAUUAAAACCAGAAGUGCCCUCAGCAUUAAAAGCCUUAAUCAGAAGCCAGCGAUGGCAGUAUAAAAUGUCAUCUGCUGUGAGUGUUUACAGUCGAGCACAGAGGAACAUGGAGGCAAUUUUGUAGAGUGACUCCUGGAGCAAAGGCCUCUGAGAAUAAAAGUGUCUUUAGAUAUUUGUUAUCCUGUUAUAGCUGGUAUCACCUUGAGUAUACAAUGCCUGCCUGCAUUAUGUAAACACUUCAUUGAUAAAUCCCUCCCCCACCUCCCCUAAGCUGUGUCAGACUGUUCUUAGCUGACAGAUAGAGCUGAAACAGAUGCUGCUAUAAAUACCCUUGUUUAGCUGUUUUGAGUAUAAUUUCUUUUGUAGAACAUGGUGGAUGCUCUACUUAUCAUUGAACUUGCACCUGUGCUGGAGUUUAUUGCUACUUUGUACACAUCAAGAUGCAUUUUUUAAUGAUUCUAUAAAAAAACCAUAGGGCAGCAGAACCCAGUCCUUUCUCCCCUUCUGAAGUAGAGACAAACUUUACAAAGGAUUGCACUCAUUUUAAUUGAACUAUUUUAAAGUUUAGAAGCUACAGAAUCCAGAGGUGAUAAAAGUUUAACUCUCAGGGCCAAACACACAGGUAAUUUACAGAAUAAUGAAAUUCUAUAUAUAUUGAAUUCUGUAUUUCUGUAUACAGAUCUACAACACCCAGCCAGCCAAACUCUUCUGGAGAGAUCCCAGGUACAGCUGGACCUGGCUUCAAAAAUGAAGAAAGGAGUUGUAUUAACACAGCAGCAUGAUUUUGAAGUCUGUAAUGCAGCAGUUGCUAACUGGUAGAUCUGUCUCCACACAGCAGCUCAUUUGUAUUUUCACCCAGAAACAUAAUUUCUACCUUAAAGAUAUUAUUUUGUUCAUAGCUGAAAUAUCAGAGAUGGAAACAUUUUAUGGUAUUUAUCUUAAGCAAGUUCAAUAUUGUUUUAAGCAAAUACCCAUUUUAUAUUCAGUCUUUAAAUAAAGAUGUAAACCACAUUCUGCUAAGCACUGCUACCUGUGAUCCACAUGCUUGAGCUGGGGAGAAACUUGCAGGCUCUCAUCACUGCAGAAAAGAUGCACAGGGAUGCACCUGGCCCACGUUCUCAAGGAUUCUUUCCAGGGUUUCUUUGCUGAUGUUUGUUUUUGUUUGAAGGACUUUGUUCUCACCCACCUGCAGAGGACCUGGCUGGCUGACAGAGCUGCUUCUCACACUGCACACACUCCCGGCUUCGUUAGGAGGACACUGACCCAUGGGAGGAACAGAGAUCAGGUCACCCCUAGGGCUGUUCCCUGGGCCAGGGCACCCUUGACUGAGGUGUAAUUGGCACAAAGGCCCAGCCAAAGGGACCACGCUUUCCACUGGUUACUCCAACCCCUGACAAAUCUGCUUCGUUAUCACCAGUGUUAAUUAGAAGCAAAACCAAGGGUUCCUCUGAAGAGAUGUGAACAGCCUGAACAGGGACAUGGUCCUUCAACUCAGAGCUGCCUAUUUCACUGGCCAAACCCACCUUAGAAGGACAGCAGGAAGAAGAGACUCAUCCUAUUCUCCCAGAACCUUCCAAGGAGGAUUGACAAGCACUGCACCCUCCAGCACGACAGGAUAACAACACCGACUCCAGUUUAGCCCUCCCCAGUCCCAUCUCCCAGCCCUGGAAGGAGCUUCCUUCCCACCACAAUUCUGCAGACACUGAACCAGUCUGAGCCUUCCCAUCUGUUCCAAGGAGAGGGUUUGAAGAUGAUUAUUCCAAAUAAGUGUAAAGGUUUCAGAACAGGAACCAGAGCCAUCUCUCCUACUCAGCCGUUGAAGGCUGCCUUGAUUACUUUGAUGUAACAACACUUGAAAGCUCCUAUUCUUUGAAACUAAUUUAAACACAUUGAAUUGUUGAAAGAUUAAAAACCGCAGUCAGCUAAUUACACUCACUCUCAUCUCUUAUUCAGCAAAUGAAUCACUUUUCAUUACCACUUAGCUGAAGUACAUGAAUUUCUGCCUAAUUAGAAAUGUUGUAGAUGGAGCAUUAGCAAGGCUGGAGCGGGUCAGGAUAUCUUGCCUGCUUCAUUUUUAAUUCCUAACGGUAGAGCCAGAUAGGAAAGGCUUCAGAUAAGAAGUCAUUAAACAAUUUUAAAUUAUUUAUAAAAAUUACUUUGCCCAAAUUAUAAUUAUUUUUUUUCCCAAAUGCUCUCAUAAACGUCAAAUGGAAUGAAAGGAAAAGCAGCCCAACAUUGAUUUUAAUGAACAUUUUAAUGUUAUGUAUAACAGAACAUUAUGAAUACAAUGGAAACAAAGUUUUAUCAAUUUAAUAAUAAAAAAGAAAUCCAACAUAAGAAAAGGGAGGCAAUAAAUUUCAUACCUAUAGUAUAGUGCUUAUUCUUAACAAUAUUCCCAGCUUGUGAAUAUAACAAUGUCUUUGUGUUCCAGAUUCUAAAAUCUUGAUUCAUGUGAACUUAAAUGCAGAAUUACAGAAGGAAAAACAAAACCCCCCAAAACCUUAAUUCACUUUUGCUUUCAGUAAAUCAGUAAAAUCUUUGACUGCUACAGGUCUCCUUUAUUAAUAUAUAUAUUUUUUUUACUCCUCUAUUGGAUUCCACAGCUGCUAAUGCCAUAUUUACACAAAAGAAUCACCAAGUGUUGUAUAAAAGUCAGGAUCCAAUGCCAUUGGAUUAAGUUAGGUUCUAGAUUUCCAUCACUGAAGUGUGAUUCCCCUGCUGCUGAUGCCCUAAACCAGUGGCUCCUUAGGGACAUGGGUGCUACAAAGGAUGCCAAGUGCCACUGGAAAAGAACUCCAAGAAAGUGCAUUUUCUGGAGUUUUCUGAAAGGAAACCUUCCAGCAGUCUUGGGUAAAGCUUCUCCCAGACUUGCACGGGAUAUCAGUUAUAACAUUAGAAGCACAUUAAGACCCCAAAAAUCUGUUGAUCACCAAAUUGCUGAGAGAGGAUCUUUACAAUAAAAAUUUGGGUAAUACAGCAGUGUGGCUGGAACAUUAGCAAAAGUAUAUAUACAUUCCAGGUCCCUUUGAAUUAGCCAUAGUCACAUAUGUAAGCCAUUU
This is a long non-coding RNA of Passer domesticus (house sparrow), 4142 nucleotides long. RefSeq lists it as uncharacterized. The transcript is spliced from 4 exons. The record is from RefSeq and is a predicted model, not a curated record. NCBI's taxonomy places the organism in Eukaryota, Metazoa, Chordata, Aves, Passeriformes, Passeridae.